UUGUCUCAAAGAUUAAGCCAUGCAUGUCUAAGUACUAGCCAACUUUUAAAAUGGUGAAACCGCGAAAAGCUCAUUAAAUCGGCUUUGGUUCCUUAGAUAGUUUGCAGAUUGGAGUUUUUUUCGACCUGUCGAAAAAAACAAAAUUCUGAAAUGGAUAACUGUGGUAAUUCUAGAGCUAAUACAUGAAAAAAAUUCGGUGCGAAACUGCGUUUGUUUUUGACAAACGUURGGCUUUGCACGCUUUUAUUAGAGAAAAAAGCCAAUUUUACUAUUGCUCACGUGUGUCUGUUUUAUUGCGAUGAUGGCAUAACAGUUGUUUUUUUGAAUAGCUGUUUUCUAUUAUUGUUUAAACGGCUGCGUGUGAAACCAAUACUAAUAAAAAUUUUGGUGUUGAAUCUGAAUAACUUGAAUGGAUUCUCUUUGAAAGAAUUUUGUUUCGUUUCGGAAUGAAAUUUGAUUAGAAGAGGGUUUAAAGCAGACCGCAUUAAAAGCUGCAAACAAAACGAUGAGAUCGCUCUCGGGCGUUCGAUUCGAUGUUUGUAGUUUAUGUGGCGUAUCUUUCAAUUGUCUGCCUUAUCAACUGUCGAUGGUAGGUUACAUGCCUACCAUGGUUAUAACGGGUAACGGGGAAUCAGGGUUCGAUUCCGGAGAGGGAGCCUUAGAAACAGCUACCACAUCUAAGGAAGGCAGCAGGCACGUAAAUUACCCAAUCCCAGCUCGGGGAGGUAGUGACGAAAAAUAACAAUCCGGAACUCAAACGAGUCUCCGAAAUUGGAAUGAGUACAGUUUAAAAACUUUAACGAGGAGCAAAUGGAGGGCAAGUCUGGUGCCAGCAGCCGCGGUAAUUCCAGCUCCAUUAGCAUAUAUUAAAGUUGUUGCGUUUAAAAAGCUCGUAGUCGAUUUUGUAUCUCGUACUUUCGAAUUCCCGCGAUUUUAUUCGUGUGGUUUUUGUUAUUUAAUUGUACGAGAUAUAUAGACUGGUGGAUGUUUAGAAAUCGUUUGCUUAUAGACGACGGACAUCUGUUCGCGCUAUUCAUCGAUUUCGAUAUUCAAUACGAUGGGUUUAGGAUUUAAUUUCGCAGCAGUGUAAAAUGUUUCAAUUACGUUACUAUUUUCGCUGUUUGUGAAAUGCUUAAAUUCGAUUGUAUUCUAAACUAUGUUGAAAGCGUUGCGGUCAGAGAUGCAAUUUCGUAAAAAGAAUUGCGUUGUCGCGCUCGUUUUCGGCUUGUCGGGCCGGCGAAAUUACUUUGAACAAAUUAGAGUGCUUAAAGCAGGCAAAUUUUAUGCCUUGAAUAUAAACAGCAUGGAAUAAUAGAAUAUGAUCUCGAUACUGUUUGUUUAAUGUUUUUCUUAUCUUCGGAUAGAAAGGCAUUUUUCGUUUGAUGAUAUGCGUAAGCGUAUUGUGAGGCGAAAUGAAAUUGGCUUAAAGUGGCAAAGUUGGGAAAUCUUAAAUGAUUUUCUUUUUGUCCACGACAGUAUAUCGAGAUAAUGAUUAAUAGAAACGGAUGGGGGCAUUCGUACUACGACGUUAGAGGUGAAAUUCUUGGACCGUCGUAAGACGAACUGAAGCGAAAGCGUUUGUCAAAAACGUUUUCAUUGAUCAAGAACGAAAGUUAGAGGUUCGAAGGCGAUCAGAUACCGCCCUAGUUCUAACCAUAAACGAUGCCGACCAGCGAUCCGYCGAUGUUCAUUUAAAUUGACUCCGCGGGCGGCUUYCGGGAAACCAAAGAUUUUGGGUUCCGGGGGAAGUAUGGUUGCAAAGCUGAAACUUAAAGGAAUUGACGGAAGGGUACCACCAGGAGUGGAGCUUGCGGCUUAAUUUGACUCAACACGGGAAACCUCACCAGGUCAGGACACUGAUAGGAUUGACAGAUUGAUAGCUCUUUCUUGAUUCAGUGGGUGGUGGUGCAUGGCCGUUCUUAGUUGGUGGAGCGAUUUGUCUGGUUAAUUCCGAUAACGAACGAGACUCUAACCUGCUAAAUAGACGCUAAACGUUUAUUGCUAAGCGUUAUGGGAACGGGUAUUUGACGGCGAUUGUGUUCGCUGUUUCGGAGAUUGYAGUUUGUGCGUGUGCGCCGAGUGCCUUUCGAACAAAUCGGGGAGAAGUAGUAGUUUUUUGAUUAUUGCUUCUUUUCUGGUGAAAUUCGAAUAGUAGUACAUGGUGUUUACGUAUGAAAAUGUGCAAUUUUCGGAAUUCGAAUUACGGUCGUUUGUUUGGGUAUUCGUUCUUGCUUAGUGAUCGUUUUAUCCGAUAUUUGAAGUCAUUUGUGUUGAUGACGUGGUCGUCGCCGUCAGUGCAUUUCGGCUGUGCAUUCGUGUGCAGUUGUUUGUGUGGUGUCGUCGUCGAUUAGUUGUUGGCACAAUAUUCACUAUCGGCGUAUAAAAAAAUCUCUUCUUAGAGGGACAGGUGGACUUAUAAGCCACACGAGAAGGAGCAAUAACAGGUCUGUGAUGCCCUUAGAUGUUCUGGGCUGCACGCGUGCUACACUGAAAAAAUCAACGUGUUUUUUUUCAAAAAUGUCCUUUACCGAAAGGUACGGGUAAACCGUUGAAAAUUUUUCGUGAUUGGAAUCGGGCAUUGAAAUUAUUGCCCGUGAACGAGGAAUUCCCAGUAAGCGUGAGUCAUUAGCUUGCGCUGAUUACGUCCCUGCCCUUUGUACACACCGCCCGUCGCUACUACCGAUAGAAUGAUUUAGUGAGGUCUUCGGACUGUCACGCGUUUAGCGUUUGGCGCUAUCGUUGUCGAUAGAAAGAUGCCCAAACUUGAUU
Molecule: ribosomal RNA, 2769 nt
Filed under: Caenocholax sp. DDM-2010
Lineage: Eukaryota; Metazoa; Arthropoda; Insecta; Strepsiptera; Myrmecolacidae
Description: bacterial SSU rRNA
Rfam family: Eukaryotic small subunit ribosomal RNA (bases 327-2769)
Source: RNAcentral